UCUUCCUCUCGGCUGGCAAUUGUUGUACCGGUACAACAUCAAUGUUGUACCGGUACACUUUUUCCAGACUUCUAUUUUGCACUUGUUCAGCUUCUUUCUCACGCUGAACAACGCUAAAACCUUUUUAACUCUUUUAAACUCACAUUUAGCCCUUCCUACAUUUCUGGAAUGCUAACUGGAACUUAUCCAACCAUCUCUUUCAUAUACU
RNAcentral lists this long non-coding RNA (208 nucleotides) under Ananas comosus (pineapple). RNAcentral's name for it is "long non-coding RNA (ACOM_LNC010082)". Lineage: Eukaryota; Viridiplantae; Streptophyta; Magnoliopsida; Poales; Bromeliaceae. The record is from RNAcentral.